RNAcentral lists this long non-coding RNA (213 nucleotides) under Salvator merianae (Argentine black and white tegu). Its description in RNAcentral is "lncRNA (ENSSMRG00000001182.1)". The record is from RNAcentral. Lineage: Eukaryota; Metazoa; Chordata; Lepidosauria; Squamata; Teiidae.
AGAAGUGCUCUUCCAUUGCUUUGUCAUCUCCGUCGGCUUCAUGAUGCACGAGUGCAAAUGUAAGCCUGUUGAAUGCAAAGUAAGUCCCAUUGGGUUUAAAAGGCAGGCGGAGUCCAUAAAGCAGAAAAGCGGUGCGGUUUUUUGGAGAAGCACUACCAACAUCUGAGGAACCAAAGUCUGCAAUCUGCAGCCUCUAGUUUCUCUAGGUCUGCU